ACGCGCAUUAGAAGCGAGUGGGCGUCUUUCUCUCUCCCUAUCCGGUUACGACUCUGGCAACACUUUCUUCUACUUUGCGUCGUCUUCCCAAUCUUUUCCUCGUUUUCAAGCAAGAUUCCACCACUUCCCACCGUUGACCUCUACAUACACAAAUACAUACAAUGCCUACUUAUCAUGUAUACGUCAAUCAUCUUGAAGUUAUGGUUACUGAUGCAAUGAUUGAACCCAAAAAGAAGAGAUCUUUCAUGUGCAGUUGCCUUCCAUCGGCAAUUCUACUUUCGGCAGUUUUCUUUAUAGGGAGUGCUUUUUUUGUCACUGAUUACAAGCAGAGGUUUUUGGGAUGUAAUCUUUACCCAGUCAAGGCUGCAAAAUCCAAGAUCUGUGAGAAUGAGUGCAGGCCUGAUGGAACUGAAACACUGCCUAGAGGUAUUGUUUCUAGAACUACUGAUUUAGAGAUGCGAUCACUCUGGGGCCCUCCUAAGAAGAAGUUGAAGUCACCAACGAACUUAUUGGCUAUUGCAGUUGGAAUAAAGCAAAAGCAAAAUGUAAAUGAAAUUGUCAAAAAGUUUCCACUGACUGAUUUUGCCAUCAUGCUUUUUCACUAUGAUGGCAAUGUCGAUGGUUGGAGAAAUUUAGAAUGGAGCAACAGUGUCAUACAUGUUUCUGCCAUUAACCAAACUAAAUGGUGGUUUGCCAAGCGGUUCUUACAUCCAGAUGUUGUUGCACAAUAUGACUAUAUUUUCCUUUGGGAUGAAGAUCUUGGAGUUGAAAAUUUUCAUGCUGGAAGAUAUCUAUCAAUUAUUAAAGAAGAGGGACUUCAGAUAUCACAGCCAGCAAUAGAUGCUGACAAAUCUGAGGUGCAUUACAAACUUACUGCACGGGAAACAAGUUCUAAAGUACACCGGAGGGCUAUCAACUUACGCGGUCCAGGAAGGAGGUGUUAUGAAAAUAGUAUGGAACCUCCAUGUACAGGGUUUGUUGAGAUGAUGGCUCCAGUUUUCUCAAGGGCAUCAUGGCGUUGCGCAUGGUACAUGAUUCAGAAUGACCUCGUCCAUGCAUGGGGCUUGGAUUUUCAGCUUGGUUACUGCGCACAGGGAAAUAGGACCACAAAUAUCGGCAUUGUUGACUCUGAGUAUGUAAUUCACUUGGGGCUUCCGACACUUGGAGGACAAACGGUGAAGUCGGAAAGCAAUCUUCGUCAAAUGAAAAGUUGCCUAAUGCAGGGAAAAUGGUGGCAUCUAAACUGGAGCAAUCAGAAGAUAGAAAUGCUGUGCGGAAAGAGUCCUUCAUCGAAUUAGACAACUUCAAGAAUCGAUGGAGGAAAGCUGUGAGAGAAGACAAAUGCUGGGUAGAUCCACUUCAGCAGCAGCAUCCGAAGCAGAGCUGAUCAUAGUUCUUGGUACAGACUGAGAUGAUUUUUUCUCCAAGAUGAUGGAAAUAGAUACCAGCAGAACAGCUUCCGAACAUCAUAUACCCUCUCCCAUGUACAUCAUCUGUUUAUGACACAGAAAAAUUGAACUGUUAUUAUUUUUGCUUA
Molecule: non-coding RNA, 1537 nt
Organism: Sesamum indicum (sesame)
Lineage: Eukaryota; Viridiplantae; Streptophyta; Magnoliopsida; Lamiales; Pedaliaceae
Source: RefSeq, a predicted model, not a curated record